RNAcentral lists this transfer RNA (73 nucleotides) under bacterium. RNAcentral's name for it is "tRNA-Asn". It matches the Rfam family "tRNA". Rfam says of the family: Transfer RNA (tRNA) molecules are approximately 80 nucleotides in length. The record is from RNAcentral. RNAcentral also lists the same sequence under 2 other names.
UCCCCUGUAGCUCAGUCGGUAGAGCAGUUGACUGUUAAUCAAUUGGUCGUUGGUUCGAGUCCAACCGGGGGAG